Phrynosoma platyrhinos (Desert horned lizard) is the source of this 72-nucleotide non-coding RNA. The record is from the annotation of a GenBank genome assembly. NCBI's taxonomy places the organism in Eukaryota, Metazoa, Chordata, Lepidosauria, Squamata, Phrynosomatidae.
GCCAGUGUGGCAUAGUGGUUUGAGUGCUGCAUUACAACUUUAGAGGCCAGGGUUUGAUUCCCAGCUUGGCCA